UGCCAGCCGCCGCGGUAAUACGGAGGGUGCAAGCGUUAAUCGGAAUUACUGGGCGUAAAGCGCGCGUAGGCGGCUAUGUAAGUCGGAUGUGAAAGCCCCGGGCUCAACCUGGGAAUUGCGUUCGAUACUGCAUGACUAGAGUAUGGGAGAGGGAAGUGGAAUUUCCGGUGUAGCGGUGAAAUGCGUAGAUAUCGGAAGGAACACCAGUGGCGAAGGCGACUUCCUGGCCCAAUACUGACGCUGAGGUGCGAAAGCGUGGGGAGCAAACAGGAUUAGAUA
RNAcentral lists this ribosomal RNA (279 nucleotides) under uncultured bacterium. RNAcentral describes it as "partial 16S ribosomal RNA". It matches the Rfam family "Bacterial small subunit ribosomal RNA", at positions 506 to 784 of the family's 1533-position model. The record is from RNAcentral.